CUUGCAAUUUCCAGUAUAAAGAUUUAUAAUACGUGGGCUGCGAUGCAGUGAUGAUUCUGAACCCUAUGCGGAAUAGUCGUUUUGGACUGGGGGGCGGUACCCCACAGCUCCACCAUAAUAAAAAAUCACUUUAUGGGGCUGACAUAGUUUCGACAGGCGCAAUAAAGGCAUUAUGGCUGAAUUCGACACGGUUGUCGUAAAACACUAACUAAAAACUGAAUGGCGAUAGAAUCGCUGCGAACGACAAUGUUCGCCUUGCAAUGGCUGCUUAAAUAACAGCAUUGAUAUAAUUGGCAAUUGUUGAUUAUAUCGUUUUAGCUAUUGCGGGGUUGGCCGGGUACCUGGCACCAGAAACC
Molecule: transfer-messenger RNA, 356 nt
Filed under: bovine gut metagenome
Description: Alphaproteobacteria transfer-messenger RNA
Rfam family: Alphaproteobacteria transfer-messenger RNA
About the family: Bacterial tmRNA, also known as 10Sa RNA or SsrA, is named for its dual tRNA and mRNA-like properties. Its role is to liberate the mRNA from a stalled ribosome.
Source: RNAcentral